UCUGGUAGACUAAAGGGUCAUCUAGAACUUGCCUCGCUGACGCUCUUGCAGAGGGCUCAAAAUACAAUUAACCUUCCAAUGAUUUGUCCCAGGCUCAAGAUAUCCUCUCUUGUGAGAUGGGCGCUCUCAAGGUACACCUCUUCCAGCCAUUCCUGCAAACUGGAUCUGGUUUAUUGGUCAUAUCACCUCCUGUGGCCACGUCGCCCACUGGCGUUAUCAACAAGGUGUCAAAUGGCGGUUGACCUACGAAGAGCUCAAAGAGCUGUCGUCAGUUUACUGUUCUAUAUAGUCACGGUGUUU
This 300-nucleotide small RNA is filed under the name Histoplasma capsulatum var. duboisii H88. RNAcentral describes it as "Histoplasma capsulatum H88 hypothetical RNA". The record is from RNAcentral. Lineage: Eukaryota; Fungi; Ascomycota; Eurotiomycetes; Onygenales; Ajellomycetaceae.